Molecule: ribosomal RNA, 439 nt
Filed under: Lachnospiraceae bacterium oral taxon A17
Lineage: Bacteria; Bacillati; Bacillota; Clostridia; Lachnospirales; Lachnospiraceae
Description: bacterial SSU rRNA
Rfam family: Bacterial small subunit ribosomal RNA
Source: RNAcentral
GAUGAACGCUGGCGGCGUGCUUAACACAUGCAAGUCGAACGAGAGAUACAGGAGGAAGUUUUCGGACGGAAUCCGGUAGAUCGAGUGGCGGACGGGUGAGUAACGCGUGGGGAACCUGCCUCAUACAGGGGGAUAACAGUUGGAAACGACUGUUAAUACCGCAUAAGACCACAGAGUCGCAUGACUCAGGGGUAAAAACUCCGGUGGUAUGAGAUGGACCCGCGUUCGAUUAGCCAGUUGGCGGGGUAACGGCCCACCAAAGCGACGAUCGAUAGCCGAUCUGAGAGGAUGACCGGCCACAUUGGGACUGAGACACGGCCCAAACUCCUACGGGAGGCAGCAGUGGGGAAUAUUGCACAAUGGGGGAAACCCUGAUGCAGCGACGCCGCGUGAGUGAAGAAGUAUUUCGGUAUGUAAAGCUCUAUCAGCAGGGAAGAAA